This 283-nucleotide ribosomal RNA is filed under the name Arthrobacter sp. 15(2010). RNAcentral's name for it is "partial 16S ribosomal RNA". It matches the Rfam family "Bacterial small subunit ribosomal RNA", at positions 210 to 505 of the family's 1533-position model. The record is from RNAcentral. Lineage: Bacteria; Bacillati; Actinomycetota; Actinomycetes; Micrococcales; Micrococcaceae.
CUUUUGUGGUUUUGGAUGGACUCGCGGCCUAUCAGCUUGUUGGUGGGGUAAUGGCCUACCAAGGCGACGACGGGUAGCCGGCCUGAGAGGGUGACCGGCCACACUGGGACUGAGACACGGCCCAGACUCCUACGGGAGGCAGCAGUGGGGAAUAUUGCACAAUGGGCGCAAGCCUGAUGCAGCGACGCCGCGUGAGGGAUGACGGCCUUCGGGUUGUAAACCUCUUUCAGUAGGGAAGAAGCGAAAGUGACGGUACCUGCAGAAGAAGCGCCGGCUAACUACG